Molecule: ribosomal RNA, 2903 nt
Filed under: Escherichia coli
Lineage: Bacteria; Pseudomonadati; Pseudomonadota; Gammaproteobacteria; Enterobacterales; Enterobacteriaceae
Description: 23S ribosomal RNA
Rfam family: Bacterial large subunit ribosomal RNA
Source: RNAcentral
UUAAGCGACUAAGCGUACACGGUGGAUGCCCUGGCAGUCAGAGGCGAUGAAGGACGUGCUAAUCUGCGAUAAGCGUCGGUAAGGUGAUAUGAACCGUUAUAACCGGCGAUUUCCGAAUGGGGAAACCCAGUGUGUUUCGACACACUAUCAUUAACUGAAUCCAUAGGUUAAUGAGGCGAACCGGGGGGAACUGAAACAUCUAAGUACCCCGAGGAAAAGAAAUCAACCGAGAUUCCCCCAGUAGCGGCGAGCGAACGGGGAGGAGCCCAGAGCCUGAAUCAGUGUGUGUGUUAGUGGAAGCGUCUGGAAAGGCGCGCGAUACAGGGUGACAGCCCCGUACACAAAAAUGCACAUGCUGUGAGCUCGAUGAGUAGGGCGGGACACGUGGUAUCCUGUCUGAAUAUGGGGGGACCAUCCUCCAAGGCUAAAUACUCCUGACUGACCGAUAGUGAACCAGUACCGUGAGGGAAAGGCGAAAAGAACCCCGGCGAGGGGAGUGAAAAAGAACCUGAAACCGUGUACGUACAAGCAGUGGGAGCACAGAGCAAUCUGUGUGACUGCGUACCUUUUGUAUAAUGGGUCAGCGACUUAUAUUCUGUAGCAAGGUUAACCGAAUAGGGGAGCCGAAGGGAAACCGAGUCUUAACUGGGCGUUAAGUUGCAGGGUAUAGACCCGAAACCCGGUGAUCUAGCCAUGGGCAGGUUGAAGGUUGGGUAACACUAACUGGAGGACCGAACCGACUAAUGUUGAAAAAUUAGCGGAUGACUUGUGGCUGGGGGUGAAAGGCCAAUCAAACCGGGAGAUAGCUGGUUCUCCCCGAAAGCUAUUUAGGUAGCGCCUCGUGAAUUCAUCUCCGGGGGUAGAGCACUGUUUCGGCAAGGGGGUCAUCCCGACUUACCAACCCGAUGCAAACUGCGAAUACCGGAGAAUGUUAUCACGGGAGACACACGGCGGGUGCUAACGUCCGUCGUGAAGAGGGAAACAACCCAGACCGCCAGCUAAGGUCCCAAAGUCAUGGUUAAGUGGGAAACGAUGUGGGAAGGCCCAGACAGCCAGGAUGUUGGCUUAGAAGCAGCCAUCAUUUAAAGAAAGCGUAAUAGCUCACUGGUCGAGUCGGCCUGCGCGGAAGAUGUAACGGGGCUAAACCAUGCACCGAAGCUGCGGCAGCGACACUGUGUGUUGUUGGGUAGGGGAGCGUUCUGUAAGCCUGUGAAGGUGUGCUGUGAGGCAUGCUGGAGGUAUCAGAAGUGCGAAUGCUGACAUAAGUAACGAUAAAGCGGGUGAAAAGCCCGCUCGCCGGAAGACCAAGGGUUCCUGUCCAACGUUAAUCGGGGCAGGGUGAGUCGACCCCUAAGGCGAGGCCGAAAGGCGUAGUCGAUGGGAAACAGGUUAAUAUUCCUGUACUUGGUGUUACUGCGAAGGGGGGACGGAGAAGGCUAUGUUGGCCGGGCGACGGUUGUCCCGGUUUAAGCGUGUAGGCUGGUUUUCCAGGCAAAUCCGGAAAAUCAAGGCUGAGGCGUGAUGACGAGGCACUACGGUGCUGAAGCAACAAAUGCCCUGCUUCCAGGAAAAGCCUCUAAGCAUCAGGUAACAUCAAAUCGUACCCCAAACCGACACAGGUGGUCAGGUAGAGAAUACCAAGGCGCUUGAGAGAACUCGGGUGAAGGAACUAGGCAAAAUGGUGCCGUAACUUCGGGAGAAGGCACGCUGAUAUGUAGGUGAAGUCCCUCGCGGAUGGAGCUGAAAUCAGUCGAAGAUACCAGCUGGCUGCAACUGUUUAUUAAAAACACAGCACUGUGCAAACACGAAAGUGGACGUAUACGGUGUGACGCCUGCCCGGUGCCGGAAGGUUAAUUGAUGGGGUCAGCGCAAGCGAAGCUCUUGAUCGAAGCCCCGGUAAACGGCGGCCGUAACUAUAACGGUCCUAAGGUAGCGAAAUUCCUUGUCGGGUAAGUUCCGACCUGCACGAAUGGCGUAAUGAUGGCCAGGCUGUCUCCACCCGAGACUCAGUGAAAUUGAACUCGCUGUGAAGAUGCAGUGUACCCGCGGCAAGACGGAAAGACCCCGUGAACCUUUACUAUAGCUUGACACUGAACAUUGAGCCUUGAUGUGUAGGAUAGGUGGGAGGCUUUGAAGUGUGGACGCCAGUCUGCAUGGAGCCGACCUUGAAAUACCACCCUUUAAUGUUUGAUGUUCUAACGUGGACCCGUGAUCCGGGUUGCGGACAGUGUCUGGUGGGUAGUUUGACUGGGGCGGUCUCCUCCUAAAGAGUAACGGAGGAGCACGAAGGUUGGCUAAUCCUGGUCGGACAUCAGGAGGUUAGUGCAAUGGCAUAAGCCAGCUUGACUGCGAGCGUGACGGCGCGAGCAGGUGCGAAAGCAGGUCAUAGUGAUCCGGUGGUUCUGAAUGGAAGGGCCAUCGCUCAACGGAUAAAAGGUACUCCGGGGAUAACAGGCUGAUACCGCCCAAGAGUUCAUAUCGACGGCGGUGUUUGGCACCUCGAUGUCGGCUCAUCACAUCCUGGGGCUGAAGUAGGUCCCAAGGGUAUGGCUGUUCGCCAUUUAAAGUGGUACGCGAGCUGGGUUUAGAACGUCGUGAGACAGUUCGGUCCCUAUCUGCCGUGGGCGCUGGAGAACUGAGGGGGGCUGCUCCUAGUACGAGAGGACCGGAGUGGACGCAUCACUGGUGUUCGGGUUGUCAUGCCAAUGGCACUGCCCGGUAGCUAAAUGCGGAAGAGAUAAGUGCUGAAAGCAUCUAAGCACGAAACUUGCCCCGAGAUGAGUUCUCCCUGACCCUUUAAGGGUCCUGAAGGAACGUUGAAGACGACGACGUUGAUAGGCCGGGUGUGUAAGCGCAGCGAUGCGUUGAGCUAACCGGUACUAAUGAACCGUGAGGCUUAACCU